AACGGCCGCGGUAUCCUAACCGUGCAAAGGUAGCAUAAUCACUUGCCUAUUAAUUGUAGGCUAGUAUGAAAGGGUUAACGAAAUAAAGACUGUCUCAAUUAAUCACCUAAAAACUAUUCCCUACUUGAAGAAAAGUAGAUCUCCUCGAAGGACAAGAAGACCCUAUAGAGCUUAAUUUUACUUAUAGGUCACACACUAUAAAAAUAUUCGGUUGGGGCGACCCAGGGCUAAUUAAUCACCCAAAAGAAAAAAGAUAUAUAAAUCAAUUAAAUGACCCUCAUAGAUCAAAAGACCAAGCUACCUUAGGGAUAACAGGCUAAUCCCACUUAAGAGUCCUUAUCAACAGUGGGGUUUGGCACCUCCAUGUUGGCUUAGG
Molecule: ribosomal RNA, 376 nt
Filed under: Metaphire hilgendorfi
Lineage: Eukaryota; Metazoa; Annelida; Clitellata; Crassiclitellata; Megascolecidae
Description: partial 16S ribosomal DNA
Rfam family: Bacterial large subunit ribosomal RNA
Source: RNAcentral